RNAcentral lists this ribosomal RNA (120 nucleotides) under Actinokineospora riparia. The record is from RNAcentral. Lineage: Bacteria; Bacillati; Actinomycetota; Actinomycetes; Pseudonocardiales; Pseudonocardiaceae.
GUAACGGCGGUCAUAGCGGUGGGGAAACGCCCGGUCCCAUCCCGAACCCGGAAGCUAAGCCCACCAGCGCCGAUGGUACUGCACUCGUGAGGGUGUGGGAGAGUAGGACGCCGCCGGACU